GAUGAACGCUGGCGGCGUGCCUAAUACAUGCCAGUCGAGCGAACGGACGAGAAGCUUGCUUCUCUGAUGUUAGCGGCGGACGGGUGAGUAACACGUGGAUAACCUACCUAUAAGACUGGGAUAACUUCGGGAAACCGGAGCUAAUACCGGAUAAUAUUUUGAACCGCAUGGUUCAAAAGUGAAAGACGGUCUUGCUGUCACUUAUAGAUGGAGCCGCGCUGCAUUAGCUAGUUGGUAAGGUAACGGCUUACCAAGGCAACGAUGCAUAGCCGACCUGAGAGGGUGAUCGGCCACACUGGAACUGAGACACGGUCCAGACUCCUACGGGAGGCAGCAGUGGGGAAUCUUCCGCAAUGGGCGAAAGCCUGACGGAGCAACGCCGCGUGAGUGAUGAAGGUCUUCGGAUCGUAAAACUCUGUUAUUAGGGAAGAACAUAUGUGUGAGUAACUGUGCACAUCUUGACGGUACCUAAUCAGAAAGCCACGGCUAACUACGUG
This 497-nucleotide ribosomal RNA is filed under the name uncultured bacterium. Its description in RNAcentral is "partial 16S ribosomal RNA". It matches the Rfam family "Bacterial small subunit ribosomal RNA", at positions 28 to 507 of the family's 1533-position model. The record is from RNAcentral.